CAUCAAUGGAAUUAAAUUGGAUGUCAUAAAAUAUUGUUGAUGAUGAAUUCUGCAUAAUUUUAUCGACAAACUUGUUCAGUUAUGUGCUGCUUGAGCUAUGUAUCUACCAAACACAUGAUGAUGCUAUUGUAGUUUGUGGUUUGCUAUAAACCUAAAAUAUGACUGUAAUAGUCAUUUUGAUAGAAGAAUGUCUUUAAUGCCCUGAGUAGUGUUCAUCGAAUUCUAUGUGUUACUAGUGCAGGCAUCGCCUGACUGACAUUUGAUGAUACCUUCGUUUUAUCGACAAACUUGUUCAGUUACGUGCUGCUUGAGCUUGUAUCUACCAAACACAUGAUGAUGCUGUUGUAGUUUGUGGUUUGCUAUAAACCUAAAAUAUGACUGUAAUAGUCAUUUUGAUAGAAAGGAAUGUCUUUAAUGCCCUGAGUAGUGUUCAUCGAAUUCUAUGUAUUACUAGUGCAGGCAUCGCCUGACUGACGUUUGAUGAUACCUUCGUUGUAGAAAAAUAUGAGGUACCCUUAUAGAUUUGAAUAUUUUGCUUGUUAUCUCUCAGCUGAUAUGGUUCGUUUGACGUUGUACUCUCCUAGAAUUUUUUUUUUUUUUGGGUGCUUUCUGACUAAACUGAGACUGUUAC
RNAcentral lists this long non-coding RNA (631 nucleotides) under Coffea arabica (coffee). RNAcentral's name for it is "long non-coding RNA (CARA_LNC006672)". The record is from RNAcentral. Lineage: Eukaryota; Viridiplantae; Streptophyta; Magnoliopsida; Gentianales; Rubiaceae.